Topomyia yanbarensis is the source of this 1868-nucleotide RNA transcript. It is a transcript of the gene named cytochrome P450 6a8-like, with no coding region annotated. NCBI's taxonomy places the organism in Eukaryota, Metazoa, Arthropoda, Insecta, Diptera, Culicidae. The record is from RefSeq and is a predicted model, not a curated record. The transcript is spliced from 3 exons.
AGCACCGACCUUCCAUCGUCAGUCGCUCGGUUCGUUUCGGCCGGUUGUGUGGUACGUUUUCCGAAAAUGCUGUUCUAUUUCGUUCUGCUAGCGGUUUCGCUUGCCUUCUACUGGGUCGGAAGAAGGUAUGCGUACUGGAAGCAACGAGGAGUCCCGUACGUGGAGCCAAGCUUCCCCUUCGGCAACAUCACCCAGAUGAGGAAACGGCAUAUCGCAUUGCUGAUGCAGGAUGCGUACUUGCAGCUGAAGGAUUGUGGGAAAAAGUUCGGUGGGGUGUUCUUUUUCAUCAACCCGGUGGCAAUUAUUUUGGAUUUGGAUUUUGCAAAAGAUGUGUUCGUGAAAGAUUUUCAGUAUUUCCAUGAUCGAGGAGUUUACAGUAAUGAGAGGGGCGAUCCGAUUUCGGCUCAUCUGGUGACGAUGGAAGGGACCAAGUGGAAGAAUUUGAGGGCAAAACUGACGCCAACUUUCACCUCCGGAAAGAUGAAAAUGAUGUACCCUACAAUCACCGGAGUAGCUGAGGAAUUCCGAAAGUGUAUGCAAGUUGAGGCAGACAACGGAGGGGAAGUGGAAAUGAAAGAAUUUCUAGCGCGAUUUACUACCGAUGUAAUUGGAACCUGUGCAUUUGGGUUAGAGUGCAACAGCCUGAGCGAUCCGGAUGCAAAAUUCCGGCAAAUGGGUAGGAAGGCCCUAGCGAUGACUCCGAUGGGCUUCCUUCGAAGAAUUUUCAGCGUGACAUUCCGAGAUUUAGCCAAAGCUCUUAACAUUAAAAUUGUCGAUCCGGAAGUGUCCAACUUCUUCAUGAACGCCGUUAGAGAUACGAUUGAGUACCGCGAAAAAAACAAGAUUCAACGAAAUGAUUUUAUGGAUCUGCUGAUCAAACUGAAAAAUGCUGAACCAAUCGACGAUGGUACUCCGGAGCAGCUGGGUAGGUUGACAUUCAACGAAAUUGCAGCUCAAGCUUUCGUGUUUUUCUUGGCCGGCUUUGAAACAUCGUCAACGGCGAUGUCCUACUGUCUGUACGAGCUUGCCAAGAAUCAGGAGCUGCAAGAUAAGGCUCGGAAAAAUGUGGAAGAAGUUUUAGCUCGAAACGAUGGAAAAAUGACAUACGAAGCAGUUCACGAAAUGAGAUAUAUCGAAAAUUGCAUUAAUGAAUCGCUUCGCAAGUAUCCCCCUGUCCCGAACAUAUUGCGCAACACCAACAAAGAUUACCCCGUUCCGGACAUGAACGUCACCCUGGAGAAGGGAUACCGUGUGCUGUUACCCAUCUACGCAAUCCAUCACGACGCUCGGUACUACCCGGAUCCGGAAAGGUACGAACCGGAUCGCUUCAGUCCGGAAGAAUGUGCAAAACGACAUCAGAUGGCAUUCGUUCCGUUCGGUGACGGUCCUCGUAUCUGUAUCGGUAUGCGUUUCGGGCUGAUGCAAGCUCGCGUUGGAUUGGCAUAUCUACUGCAGAAUUUCCGCUUCAAGUUGUCACCGAAGACACCGCGGGUGCUAAAGCUGGUAGCAUCUAGUGCGAUUCUUACAUCGGAGGGAGGCCUUUGGUUGCACAUUGAGAACUUGUAACUGAUUACGUGGUACAGAGACGCUGGCCGGAAUGAUCUUUUGUUUUAGUUAGCUGUGUUGCAAUAUUGGAAAAAAAAACUGUACUUAAAUUUUUAUACAUAGCAGUUGCAGAAAGGUUAUGCAAUCAUUCCUAACCGAAGAACUUCCUAACGGAGACCCGAAGAACCGAGUGUCGUAUACCAUUCGAUAGAGUUUCUCCAGAUAAAACAUGUUUGCUUGUGUAUUAGACGUGCUCUAAGUUGCAUGGAAAAAUAUCCAUAAAUUCUAAUUAGCAAGCACAGCACUUUUUGAGGUCCUUUUGU